RNAcentral lists this ribosomal RNA (443 nucleotides) under uncultured bacterium. RNAcentral's name for it is "bacterial SSU rRNA". It matches the Rfam family "Bacterial small subunit ribosomal RNA", at positions 958 to 1398 of the family's 1533-position model. The record is from RNAcentral.
AACGCGAAGAACCUUACCGGGGCUUGACAUCCUGCGCUAUCCUAGGAGACUAGGUUUCCGGGCAACCGGACGCAGAGACAGGUGCUGCAUGGCUGUCGUCAGCUCGUGCCGUGAGGUGUUGGGUUAAGUCCCGCAACGAGCGCAACCCUUAUCCCUAGUUGCCAUCGGGUCAAGCCGGGCACUCUAGUGAAACCGCCCAGGAUAACUGGGAGGAAGGUGGGGAUGACGUCAAGUCCUCAUGGCCUUUAUGUCCAGGGCUACACACGUGCUACAAUGGUCGGUACAAACCGUCGCAAACCCGCGAGGGGGAGCUAAUCGGAAAAAGCCGGCCUCAGUUCGGAUUGGAGUCUGCAACCCGACUCCAUGAAGCUGGAAUCGCUAGUAAUCGCGGAUCAGAACGCCGCGGUGAAUACGUUCCCGGGCCUUGUACACACCGAGACGAC